UCCAGCGGGUUUUGGCUUUUCUAACCCCACUCCUCUAUGUUCUGACAGUGUCUCUGUAUUUUUCUAGGAUCACCUUCACUUGAUUUCCUGCACACUAGGAUGGACCAUGGCUAUUGUUGCAAACAAUAGCCUCACCACACUGCAUAAUCUUUUUUUUAAAGUGCACUAGAAACAAACAUAAGAGAUGUUAUAAAGCAUUUGAAACAAAACAUUAAGUGGGGAGGCACCUUUUUUUUUUUUUUUUUUUUUUUUUUUAUCCUGGAGAGGGCAGAGGAGAAGAUGAAUUUGAAAGAGAAGGACCAAGCCAAAUCAAAAGCCCAGAGUAUCAUGCUACAUUUUUUGCAUUCUAUGUGCCUCUAGGAUGCUAGUUAACAAACAGUAUCAUCUCUCCUUCAGGAACUACUUAGUAAUCACAUAUAGCAGCACAUAAAGAAGCUACCCAUGCUUCACUUGGCUUUUCUGAUUCUGUAAGUACUGGGCACUUUAUGCCAGCCACCUAAGUUCUCAGAAGGAUCGUUCUAAAAAAAGUAACAAGUAAUAUAUUGAAUAGUAAAUACAGCAAUUUCCAUGGUAGUUUUGCUGUACAUGUCUGUUUUCUAUGUUCCCUUUGAGGUUUUGCCACUCUGUUUCACCUGUUUUUACACUGGAAACUGUACUGAGGUUACUCCCUGAGGGCCCAUGACAUGCUCCAGAACAGCCAUCUGUACUAUGACAUGACAAGGUUCUCCUUCCUCACACUGACAGCUGAGUUCAGCCAAAACGCAGGGCAGUGCUUAACUCCACUGUGCUACAUCCUGCUUACUCUCCUAAAGCCAGAACAAACUACCUAUGGCUGUGAGGCUCUGCCAAACUUCUAUCAGGAACACAGGAACCUAAAAGACGCAUUGGGAAAUUCCAUGUGCAGAAUAAUUGAAAAAUCUACCAGGCUACAGAGUGUUCCGUUCUUUUUUUUAACUGUAGAUUUCACUAGCAGCACCAGAGAUUGUAAAGACUAAAAAUUGUUUCAUGUGGGGUUGCUGAAGAGCUCAAUUCAAGACUGAGAAAGACAGCCCUGAAACCAGCAGUAACCACGUGCACUAAAGAAUAACAGAGCUAUGCUAACUUUCCUUUCAAUCUGAAACAUGCUCAGCUUUGAUCUUUAUCAACACAUUGCAAAUGCUCUGUUAUUUCAGGUGUUUCUUUGAAGGGACAGGUGCACUUAAGCAGGACUAAAUACAGUGGUAUAAGGGACAGAAAGCAUGUAUAACUAUUAUUCAUCAAAGCCUUGGUGAGACUUCAGUAAGAUGACGACAUUUGGUGUACACUGAUUCCAUAUAAAAACAUGUAUCUAGACCUCUUGUUCAGCACCAAAAGAUGUCUCUGUUCUCCCUCCAUAAAACCUUCCAAGUGAUAGAAAGAAAUUUUACAAAGUCACAUGGACUUCCUUUAAAUCUAGAGAAUUCUGGCCUACCCCUACUCUCCCAUUCAUGUUUUUGUAGCAGUACAAAGACGUCGAAUUUGUCCUCUCUAUCAUGCAAUUUCUUUCUUUAAGAAACUAAGGAAAUCAUACACAGUAUGUCACAAAAAGAUUCCAGAGACCUGGCAAAACUGGUUAUAAAUAAGAUGUUAGUUAGAAUUUGAAAAGCAUCAUAUAUUAUUAAAAAAAUGUAAGCAAAACAACAACAAAAGAACAAGUGUGGAUUACGUACUAUCUGUGGAUACAACUGUGAAAGGUAAUACGAUAGCUACUGAAAAGCCAGCUAAACCAGGGAGUUCAUUUUUAAGUUACCUGGCAACUUUUUCUUUCAUUUGAGCAACCAAGUUGGUACCUGUAUGUCUAAAUUACAUAUAUGGACACUUGAAUGUCCAUUUGAGUAAAAAUAUACUGAGACCGUGAAGUACAAAACCAAAAACUUGUGACCAAGGACCAUUACAGAGCCCUGUAAAACUGGAUUUCCCCAAAUUUCCUCCAUUUGUUAAUGUGGUAUCAUAUUUUGACAAUCUUAGUGAAGUCAGUAGCGAGAUUACCUACUUCUUUCUCCUUUAGAUCUCUAGAAGGUCAUACCCUAAAGUCUGUAGCAAGAGAAAUACUCUUUUACAACCUGCCCCAAGGUGAGUUCAUGACCACAAACUAUUUUCUCUGGUAACCAGUUACCACCUACGCCACAGUUACCACACUGCCCAUUAUUCCUACAGACAACUGGGAAUGCCAGCUAUAUUGGCUUUGUCACUGCUGAUGAUUGCCCCUUGCCAAGUAAUUCUCAGCAGUGGGAACUCAUAUGGCAGCAACAGACCGAACUUGCUGUUCUUCAUCUCAUUUGCCACCUCAUCUGGCUCUAUACCAAGUCAGAGAACCUUUGCCUAGUUUUUACACUAGUAAAUUAAAUGGUCAGGGACUGUUCUCAGGACCCGAUGCCAACUGGCACUUCAUAAUUCAGUCUCCUUUCAGCUAUGAUGACAAUACAGCUGAACUUCCCUACAGCUUCCUUUCAAACAAACAGGACCAUAUCCAAAUUGUCAAUCAGGAAUAAGCUCUGACCCAGCCUAGACCCCAAAUUAUGCUCAAGCACUGAAGCAGUGGUAGCUGAUCCAGGUCAAAACCAUCUGAGGGAUGUACAAGGAAUCACUUGUCAGUGUGCAGACCCUUCUUUAGCCUGAUUUACUUUAUAAAUAUAGUUUUUGACUGAUGGAAGCAAUUCUGAGUAUUGUAAAAACUUUGAGAAGCUUGAUCCAAGCAAAAAAAAGCCUCAGGUGCUCGAGAUCAUGAUGGUGGGAAUUCUGUCCUUUCUCUAUAACAUAGCUUCUAUGUUUGGAAGCUCAGCUCUUAUUUUAUGUUUCCAUUCUAGUUAGGGGAUUUUUUUGAAGACGGUCAUUAUUUUUUUUCCUUUAAAAUACACCUUAUUGCAAAGAGACUCUGAUUUUAUCCAAAGACUGUAUAUAAUAUCAAUAACACCUUUGACAGAUAGCUUGCAAAUCUAAGGCUGCUGAUAACUAUUACAGAAAUGAAGGAAAACAAAGUAAGAUUCUGACACAAGGAAGGAACUCACAUUUCCCAUGAAACCAGAGUAGCACCAUUAUGGUUACAGGUUCAAAAGAAGAGAACAGACUUUAUUUUUUGAUGGCUAAAUUAGUUUCUGUUUUAAACCUGUUCUAGAUAUACUCUUUUUCACUACAGCUGCCAGCUUUCAUUAUUACUUUCCAAUUGGUCAUCAAUCCUGCCGCUCCUUUUACACAUCCUUGCAAAUUUUCAGACAAUUCAAUAGGAAUUCACAAAGCAGCACAGCAGCUUGAAGGACAGAAGAAUACCACCUCCAGGCAUCUUUACUCACAAAUCUCUUCACAAUAAGAUAUUUAUGGAGCUUUAUUCUUUGGAAUCAUUCACUAUUUAUUACAUAUGUUUUGGAGUAUAUUACUAUUGAGCAUCAGGCUAUUUAGUUUUAAUUUUGAGUAACUCUCUUGAAGAAAAUAGCUGAUGUGAAUUGCUGAUGGCUGAUAUAUAAUUAAAAUCUAAUUUUAUGAAGUUUAAGUGCAAACUGCUUCUAAAAUGCACUUUUUCCCCUAUUUAUGGCAUGACAUUUUCAGAGAAGUACUACAACAGAUUUUGUAACAGAGAUUAAUAUUUUUCUCCAUUAUGAUUCUUUUCUCAUAUUCAAAGAACCAAACCGAUGCAAACUCUGCAUAUCUCACUCACACACUGUGAAAUCCCAGUGUGCUCUGAGCAAGUAUGUCAGAAUCACACCCUCACAGAUCAUGAAUAGCAUCCCUGCAGAGUACUGCUUUUAAAGAAACAAAAUAUUUGGGCAAGAUACCAAGGGUAACAGAAUAUCACACAAGCAAGUCUGAAAAGUAACCAGGGGUUAUGCAUCUACUGGAAUGUGGUGCUCAAAAAUCAUUGAGCUAGCUGUGCUUAGAGAUAGAGAACUUUUUUUUCUUUUUCCUGUACUAACUCAGGCAGACACUUAUUUCUCAUCUCUUUUUAAAAAACCCUUUCAUUAUCCUGUUGUUCUCUUCACCAAAGCAGAUUGAAUUUUGUUGAGGCAACAAACCGAAAUUCCAGAUCAUGGAAAGUCUCUGCUUAACAGUACUAUUAGUAAAAGUGUAGCUGAUACACUUAGUGUUUGGGUACUCCAAAAGGCCCAGGAAGGAGCUGGACUGGUGAGAGCCCUAUUAAACCCUCCCCUGCUGCCAUCUGGUGCCAGGAGCAAGUAAAUUACCGUAACUGUCCAAGAGUACUGCUUACUGCUCUGAGCCUGUGAGGCUGAGCAGCUACAUCAGCAGAUGUACUAGCAUCUCAUCUCACUCUGCCUUGACCUUGCUUCCUUCAUUACUAGGUGUUUAAAAUGAGACUCUGAGGAAAAAUGAAAAUAUGAGGUGCAAUUAUUAUGUGCUUGGUAAACAGUAUGAUGGAGGAGACUCAAACUUUCCCUUCCAAAGCAGCACAACCAAAUAUCCAUCUCCAGUGACUUGUAUGCAUGCAGCAUGGGCAACAAACAGAAGCUAGAAGUCCAUGAACAUCUGCACAGUUAUGACCUCACUGGAAUCAUAGAGACCUGUGAAGAUAACUCACAUGCCUGGAGUACAGUAAUGGAUUGAUGAAAACUCUAAAGUUGAGGAAGAAGGGUUUUGCUCUACACAAAAGAGCAGUUCAAUUGCAUUUGGUGUUGUCUUGUAACAGGUGAUGGGCCAACUGGGAGCUAUGGGCACGAAUCAGAGGACAGAGAAGCAUGGUGGCAUCAUUUGGAGUAUCUUCUACUGAUCAUCUGAUGCAUAAGAGAAAAUAGAUGAAGCAUUUUUCAGACCACUAGAAGUCAUGUGAUUUUUGCAAUGGAUUGAAGAAAAUUUUUGCCAUGAGUGAUUAAUGUCAGCUGUGGGAAUUACUUGUUGCAAAUAAAGAAGCAUUGGUCAGGGGUCUGAUGGCCAAUGGUAGCACUGGCAGCCUACUAUGAGACUGUAAGGUGGUGAAGUUUAAGGUCCUGAGAGAAGGAACCGAGACAAGUACCAGAUGAGAAAGUUCUGAAAGCAUCCAAAAAUGUAGCACUGCUGUUGGAUAGGGUUGCCUUGCCCACUGGAAAUGCUGCAAACCACCAGUCAUUAUGAGACUUGUUUCCAGUUUUUUGCAACCUCACUACAUUUUAGAUGUUGCAGAUUUUCCACGCCAAGGAUCUGUCCUGGGAUAAGUUAUCAAUAUGGCUAAUAUCUUUUGGAAAAUUUUAGCAAAAAUAUUCAUAUUUUUUUAAGAUGGGAACAUUCUUUUUUGCUCAAAAUAAAUUAUUCUAGCAACCGUUCUUUUGAGAAGUUCCAAUA
Molecule: long non-coding RNA, 5283 nt
Organism: Pseudopipra pipra
Lineage: Eukaryota; Metazoa; Chordata; Aves; Passeriformes; Pipridae
Exons: 2
Source: RefSeq, a predicted model, not a curated record